GUUGAUGCGCUCCUUGAGGAUCUUGAAGAUGAGGUCCUGCUUCUUGAGCAGGGCGUAGUCGCCGAUCCCCUCGUUGUCGGCGACCUCGUGAAGCUCGGGAAUGCUCAUCUUCUGAAGGUCU
RNAcentral lists this ribosomal RNA (121 nucleotides) under uncultured eukaryote. RNAcentral's name for it is "partial small subunit ribosomal RNA". The record is from RNAcentral.